UACAGAGGGUGCGAGCGUUGUCCGGAAUCACUGGGCGUAAAGGGCGCGUAGGUGGCGAGCCAAGUCCAUGGUGAAAGCUCGAUGCUCAACAUCGAGUCGGCCACGGAUACUGGUGCGCUUGAGCACUGUAGAGGCUAAUGGAAUUCCGGGUGUAGCGGUGGAAUGCGUAGAGAUCCGGAAGAACACCGGUGGCGAAGGCGGUUAGCUGGGCAGUUGCUGGA
Molecule: ribosomal RNA, 221 nt
Filed under: uncultured bacterium
Lineage: Bacteria
Description: partial 16S ribosomal RNA
Rfam family: Bacterial small subunit ribosomal RNA
Source: RNAcentral